This is a non-coding RNA of Chlorocebus sabaeus (green monkey), 2021 nucleotides long. The record is from RefSeq and is a predicted model, not a curated record. Lineage: Eukaryota; Metazoa; Chordata; Mammalia; Primates; Cercopithecidae.
ACAGGGUCUCUCUAUGUUGCCUACCCUGAUCUGGAACUCCUGGGGUCAUGUGAUCCUGCCACCUCAGCCUCCUGAGUUGCUGGGGCUACCAGUGCAUACCACCAUUCCUGGCUACCAUAUUGGCCUUAUUAUAAUACAAUGAGAGCUUAAGGACAUAAAUGUUGAAGCAUUUCAAGAUAAAAUAUGUACUUCAAAGUUUUCAAAAUAAUUUAAAAAUAGAAUUUUGAAAUAGUGAAGAAAAGACUGUUGACUCUUUCAACUGGAUUAUGAAAUGCAUACCAAAGUUUGGACUUUUUGGAACCCACUUCCGGACUCUUCUGUGACUGGUUGAAGUUUAUGUCUGGAGAAAUUAACUCCCCACUAUUUCUGGCCUACCUGGAUAUGGGCAGCACAUGCUCUUCAGGCAGAGGAAGUCCAGAGUCAAAGAGAAACAAAUGCUUGAGGUAGGAACUCAUUGGUUUGUGAAGUGAACUGUCUGCCAAAGCAGUAGGCAACCAAUGCUACAGGGGUGGGUCAGGGAAUAUGGGUGAGGCACCAACUGUCUGUGUCAGAAGACUGUUGUUUUCAGAUAUGAGGAAGUUAGACUUACACUCCCUAAACUUAUACUCUGUUAGUGGCCAUAAAAAUAGAUCGGUAAUGCUUUGUGCUUUUUGUGGAUAAUUCCUGUUCAUCCACCAAAUCUCCAUUUAGAGCCAAUCUGCCUGAACUUAAUUUAUCUUUGUAAUUCUACACAGGCUGUUCUUGUAUUGACCCUAAUCAUUGUCUCUUGGUGGUCUACCUACCCAGAAAGUAUGCUGUAUCCUGACUGCCCACCAGAGCUCCCAAAUAAGCCAUAUCAGAAUGCAAGGAUAAUUUAAUUUCAUCUUUAGCACCCCCUUUCGCCCUCAAAGUGUUUGUUUCUUAGUAAGGGAUAUAUGUGUUGGGGAGUGGGUGUUUGAACACAGCAAUAAACCUACACAGUGGCUCCCACUGAUGUUCAGCCAUGUUCUGAACAUGUUAUAAUUACUGGUGGGCACAGCCUGUCAGAAGUCUGUUUGUACAAGGAUUUAAGAUCAUCCUGGGAGAUAAUUAUUAUAAGGGGUGAGGAAGUUAGGGGUGACAGCUUGAUCCAGUAAUAAGUCUUAGUCAUCAGAGGAGGGGGGCUGUUCUGAGAAUGGUGUGGUGUCUAUGACUCAGAUUUGUCUGCAUUUCUGGCCUCCCUUUAGAGCAUGUCUCAGUCUUUCAGAAAGUUGAGGGUAAAGUUAUAAAUGAAUACUAAAUGAGUUGUUUUGCUAAAACUGUUGGAUACUGGAAGUACCAGUAAGAUUACUUGAGAUCUCUCUAACAGAAUGUAGUACAAUCUAAAGAGAAAGGGCUUAUCUUCCAGUUUCAACAAUGUCCUUGGAGAGGGCCAGAAAAGGGCAAGAGGAAUUGGAAGCCACAUGGUAUCUGACAAGGCUUGUUCAUUAUCACAGGUGAGAUGCACCCAGGGAUUUACCAGAACUACUUGGGCAGUGCUUGAUUGAUGGCUGCAUCCCAGGGAAAGCCAUGAAAUCUGGGUUAGCUGAUUAAUGCAACCUUAUUUGUUCCCAUAGGCUGAUGAGAACUGGGCAAACUCAAGCUGCAGAUGGAACAUUCUGGUAGAUAUGGACAAAUCCUUUCAUUUCUUUUCCACAAUCAAGUUUAGGAUAGACAUAUACUGCCUGGUCCAUAGUAGGUACUUAUACUAGAUAUCCAUUGAAUGAAUUAACUUUUCUCAUAUUUGAUACACAUCAGGAGUGAGCAAGAAUUGAACUGAUACCUGAAAAAUUUCUAGUCCCCUUGAGGUAAGGGAACCAUUACUUCUUUCUUAUUUGCUAUGCCUUACAGAAAUAAAGUCACGUGUUUUUUUGUUUUUGUUUUUAAAAAACAUUAACAGAUAUCUAAGUGACUGUGUCAGCCAGGUAUGGUCGCUUACUCCUGCAAUCCAAGCACUUUGGGAGGCUGAAGAGAGAGGAUUGCUUGAGUCCAGGAGUUUGUGACCAGCUUGGGCAAUACAGGGA